AGUGAACGCUGGCGGUAGGCCUAACACAUGCAAGUCGAACGGCAGCACAGUAAGAGCUUGCUCUUACGGGUGGCGAGUGGCGGACGGGUGAGGAAUACAUCGGAAUCUACUUUUUCGUGGGGGAUCACGUAGGGAAACUUACGCUAAUACCGCAUACGACCUACGGGUGAAAGCAGGGGAUCUUCGCACCUUGCGCGAUUGAAUGCGCCGAUGUCGGAUUAGCUAGUUGGCGGGGUAAAGGCCCACCAAGGCGACGAUCCGUAGCUGGUCUGAGAGGAUGAUAAGCCACACUGGAACUGAGACACGGUCAAGACUCCUAAGGGAGGCAGCAGUGGGGAAUAUUGGACAAUGGGCGCAAGCCUGAUACAGCCAUACCGCGUGGGUGAAGAAGGCCUUCGGGUUGUAAAGCCCUUUUGUUGGGAAAGAAAAGCAGCAGGUUAAUACCCCGCUGUUCUGACGGUACCCAAAGAAUAAGCACCGGCUAACUUCGUG
This 492-nucleotide ribosomal RNA is filed under the name uncultured bacterium. Its description in RNAcentral is "partial 16S ribosomal RNA". It matches the Rfam family "Bacterial small subunit ribosomal RNA", at positions 29 to 507 of the family's 1533-position model. The record is from RNAcentral.